Cavia porcellus (domestic guinea pig) is the source of this 521-nucleotide long non-coding RNA. RefSeq lists it as uncharacterized. The record is from RefSeq and is a predicted model, not a curated record. NCBI's taxonomy places the organism in Eukaryota, Metazoa, Chordata, Mammalia, Rodentia, Caviidae. The transcript has 3 exons.
UCCUGCUCUCUCUUCUGCAGGGAGGGAUUAUGGGUUUCUGGGUUCCCCCACCCCACGGGGAAAGGAAGUGUCUACGUGGCCUACUGAAAUAGGAUAGGCGGAAAUGAGCUAAGGUUCCCGCGAGUGGGGAAGCGCGAGGUCAAAUCUAGGGCCACGCCCCCGAGGCUGUUGCGCAACUCUCGGAGAAGGACGAAAAAGGCCCAAUGGAGGUUUUGAUGUGUGUGCUAGUGGGGGUGCUGGCUGACUUCAUGGUUAUGUGAAUGACACAUUUCACUUGGAACUAUCAUGUGAAGUUGUCCAUGUUACAUAUCAACCAAGAGAUGAAGACUGAUUUCUACCUGUGUUUGUUGAUGCCUAUAAUUUAAGUUUGCCUCAAGAGGAUGCUUUCAGCCUUUUUCCAGAGGUGGUCACUCUAUUGCAGAAGAAGUGGGGUUAUCCAACAAGAGUGAGGGAGAACAACAGCUUAACCAAAACAACUCUGAUAUUCCCAAUGGAGAUCAAGAAAUCCAACAACCAGAAGA